AGGGAAAUAGCUCAGUGGUAGAGUACAUACCUAGCAUACAUGAGGUCCUGGGUUCAAUCCCUAGUUCCUCCA
This 72-nucleotide transfer RNA is filed under the name Camelus bactrianus (Bactrian camel). It matches the Rfam family "tRNA". From Rfam's summary of the family: Transfer RNA (tRNA) molecules are approximately 80 nucleotides in length. Their secondary structure includes four short double-helical elements and three loops (D, anti-codon, and T loops). RNAcentral also lists the same sequence under 2 other names. Lineage: Eukaryota; Metazoa; Chordata; Mammalia; Artiodactyla; Camelidae. The record is from Rfam by way of RNAcentral.